Molecule: ribosomal RNA, 425 nt
Filed under: uncultured bacterium
Lineage: Bacteria
Description: partial 16S ribosomal RNA
Rfam family: Bacterial small subunit ribosomal RNA
Source: RNAcentral
GUAGGGAAUCUUGCGCAAUGGGCGAAAGCCUGACGCAGCCAUGCCGCGUGAAUGAUGAAGGUCUUAGGAUUGUAAAAUUCUUUCACCGGGGACGAUAAUGACGGUACCCGGAGAAGAAGCUCCGGCUAACUUCGUGCCAGCAGCCGCGGUAAUACGAAGGGGGCUAGCGUUGCUCGGAAUUACUGGGCGUAAAGGGCGCGUAGGCGGACAGCUUAGUCAGAGGUGAAAGCCCAGGGCUCAACCUUGGAAUUGCCUUUGAUACUGGCUGUCUUGAGUUUGGGAGAGGUGAGUGGAACUCCGAGUGUAGAGGUGAAAUUCGUAGAUAUUCGGAAGAACACCAGUGGCGAAGGCGACUCACUGGCCCAAUACUGACGCUGAGGCGCGAAAGCGUGGGGAGCAAACAGGAUUAGAAACCCCGGUAGUCC